UACAUUGGGGUGACCUGUGGAUAUGUCC
Molecule: non-coding RNA, 28 nt
Filed under: Mus musculus (house mouse)
Lineage: Eukaryota; Metazoa; Chordata; Mammalia; Rodentia; Muridae
Source: RNAcentral